Molecule: long non-coding RNA, 1443 nt
Filed under: Macaca fascicularis (crab-eating macaque)
Lineage: Eukaryota; Metazoa; Chordata; Mammalia; Primates; Cercopithecidae
Description: lncRNA (ENSMFAG00000064007.1)
Source: RNAcentral
UAUUAGUAAUAGGUUUUUAUUCAGAGUCCUCAUUUUCCAGAUAGGUCACAUUAAACACAGCCAUUAAACAAUAGCGUUGAGAUAAAUCCAUACAAUGUAUGCUGCUUUUGUUGUUGUCCUUGUUCACCAAUCACUUGGUGCAGCUAAGAACCUUAUGGAGUGAUGGGUUGAUAAUGGAAAUAGCCAACCUGCAAAACACUGGGGCCAGGAAAGUCAGACUUUAAUCAGGUCUCAUUCAAUUAUAUUUCGAAUCAACACAUCUUGAUAGCCAAAACUCUCAUUUGAAUUAAUGCUCUGAUAAAUGCUGUCUGUUGUCAAAAGAAUAUAAUCAGACAAUUAUGACUGGGCAUAUAUUAUGCCAGACCUGUCUAUUUGUUGAACUCAGUAACUUCUACUCUAUUAGAUAACAAACAGCUUUUAACCUGGUUCUAAAAUAGCAUAUGCUCUAUUACUACAUGGCUUUUUUUUAUGGUGCCAUAUUUUAAAUCGAGCAAUGUCUAGAUCCUUUAAAGAGAAGUCAUGUUUUACAAGAUUUCAGCUAAUUUUGGAAAACAAAACAAGUUAGUUUCUCAACCAGGAAUUCAAUUAACCUAUGGAGUAGUGAGCCAAUCUUUGUCUAUUGCCUGCAAUAAAGUUAGAAGUGUCAGGUUAAGAAAUAGCAUGAAAGAAUUCUUUGAAAUUGCAUGAUAUGUCUCUUUAAUGUUUACUUUGGUAUAGGUAUAACUAACACAGAUUCUCACUACUUUUAACUGAUGAAAAAGUUAUUUUGUUGCUGAUUUUUUUUUUUAAUUCAUCUGUAUGCAAUUUUUAGAAGUUUGGGUUUCUUACUGAAAUUUCCAUGAAGUGAUUUUUUUUUUUUCUGUGCUUAACUUCAGUUACUUAAAGACCUAAAAGACCUAAAGUAAUAUCACAUCACAUAUUUUGUAUGUGUGGGAUAUUUUUGAGGGGUUAGUACUUGAAAGAUGUGAACUGAUUUUUUUUUUCACACUCUAAAUUAUGCUAAAACCCCUUCAAAUCUCACUGUUUGCUCAUGCAUCACCUAUUAGAGCAAGUUGUUCCCUAAAGGUGUGAUUUUGGCAUCUCAUAGGCUUCCUUGAAAGCCAAGCACCAGAGGUCUGCGAUAAAGGCAGCUGCCAGCUAAAUGAAUGAAAGCGAGAUUUCUUCAAUUCAACUAUAAAAGCUUAGAGUCCUGACUGCUGUAUUACCACCAACUUGUAAAUAAAUAAUCACUACUAAAUACAGAUAAUGUGUUAAACAGCUAACACUAGUAAAUCACUGGUGACAGAGAGCCUAAAGGUAAAUCCCUCACACAUUGGCACAACCAAUUCUUAAAAUCUUAUGGUGUUUUAAUGUCCUCAGACACAUAUAAUAAAUUGAACAACUGGUUACUUAGCAUUAAGAAUGUUUAAAAAAUAAACCCUACUCUCUUUGCUGAUUUCAUUU